RNAcentral lists this ribosomal RNA (498 nucleotides) under uncultured bacterium. RNAcentral's name for it is "partial 16S ribosomal RNA". It matches the Rfam family "Bacterial small subunit ribosomal RNA", at positions 29 to 523 of the family's 1533-position model. The record is from RNAcentral.
AUUGAACGCUGGCGGCAUGCCUUACACAUGCAAGUCGAACGGUAACGCGGGGCAACCUGGCGACGAGUGGCGAACGGGUGAGUAAUACAUCGGAACGUGCCCAGUAGUGUGGGAUAGCCCGGCGAAAGCCGGAUUAAUACCGCAUACGACCUAAGGGUGAAAGGGGGGGAUCGCAAGACCUCUCGCUAUUGGAGCGGCCGAUGUCAGAUUAGGUAGUUGGUGGGGUAAAGGCCCACCAAGCCAACGAUCUGUAGCUGGUCUGAGAGGACGAUCAGCCACACUGGGACUGAGACACGGCCCAGACUCCUACGGGAGGCAGCAGUGGGGAAUUUUGGACAAUGGGGGAAACCCUGAUCCAGCCAUGCCGCGUGCGGGAAGAAGGCCUUCGGGUUGUAAACCGCUUUUGUCAGGGAAGAAAAGCUCUAGGAUAAUACCUUGGAGUAAUGACGGUACCUGAAGAAUAAGCACCGGCUAACUACGUGCCAGCCGCCGCGGUAA